Non-coding RNA from Acanthosepion pharaonis, 104 nucleotides. Lineage: Eukaryota; Metazoa; Mollusca; Cephalopoda; Sepiida; Sepiidae. The record is from the annotation of a GenBank genome assembly.
UUGCGGCGAUAUCACGUCCAAACACCGGUUUCCGUACGAUCACCGAAGUUAAACAUGCUCAAUACCUAAAUAGGUGACCGCUUGGGAAUAUCAGGUGCUGUAAG